Molecule: long non-coding RNA, 307 nt
Organism: Urocitellus parryii (Arctic ground squirrel)
Lineage: Eukaryota; Metazoa; Chordata; Mammalia; Rodentia; Sciuridae
Source: Ensembl
GGACAGCCUGCAGCGGUGGAGGGUCGUCGCCCUCCGACCCGCCAGAUGGCCACUCUGCUGACCGCCCCACGGUGUCUGAUCUGAUUUGGGACCUUGCAGGGCUCCUCCUGCUGAGGCAGCUUUUCUUCUUGUCUCCUGGUGAUCACUGAGCUCCACCUCCAGGCUGCACGGGAAUCUCCUUCCAACCCCGCGUCUCYGCACACGCGAAGAAACAUUCCCCUGAGCUGUUGGAGCUGACAUCUUGCUGCCGGAGCCUAGAAGCAUCAGGUGUGAAGGACGUGCAGCCCUCUCCUGGCCAGAACCACGC